GGAAUGUUCUGAGAAGAAACCUGAGGAGGCUCUGCCCUCUCUCCAGGGUGAAGCCGGCCCCACUGGUGCCCGUGGUCCUGAAGGUGCUCAAGGUCCUCGCGGUGAACCUGGUACUCCUGGGUCCCCUGGGCCUGCUGGUGCCUCCGGUAACCCUGGAACAGAUGGAAUUCCUGGAGCCAAAGGAUCUGCUGGUGCUCCUGGCAUUGCUGGUGCUCCUGGCUUUCCUGGGCCACGGGGCCCUCCUGGCCCUCAAGGUGCAACUGGUCCUCUGGGCCCGAAAGGUCAGACGGGUGAACCUGGUAUUGCUGGCUUCAAAGGUGAACAAGGCCCCAAGGGAGAACCUGGCCCUGCUGGCCCCCAGGGAGCCCCUGGACCCGCUGGUGAAGAAGGCAAGAGAGGUGCCCGUGGAGAGCCUGGUGGCGUUGGGCCCAUCGGUCCCCCUGGAGAAAGAGGUGCUCCCGGCAACCGCGGUUUCCCAGGUCAAGAUGGUCUGGCAGGUCCCAAGGGAGCCCCUGGAGAGCGAGGGCCCAGUGGUCUUGCUGGCCCCAAGGGAGCCAACGGUGACCCUGGCCGUCCUGGAGAACCUGGCCUUCCUGGAGCCCGGGGUCUCACUGGCCGCCCUGGUGAUGCUGGUCCUCAAGGCAAAGUUGGCCCUUCUGGAGCCCCUGGUGAAGACGGUCGUCCUGGACCUCCAGGUCCUCAGGGGGCUCGUGGGCAGCCUGGUGUCAUGGGUUUCCCUGGCCCCAAAGGUGCCAACGGCGAGCCUGGCAAAGCUGGUGAGAAGGGACUGCCUGGUGCUCCUGGUCUGAGGGGUCUUCCUGGCAAAGAUGGUGAGACAGGUGCUGCAGGACCCCCUGGCCCUGCUGGACCUGCUGGUGAACGAGGCGAGCAGGGUGCUCCUGGGCCAUCUGGGUUCCAGGGACUUCCUGGCCCUCCUGGUCCCCCAGGUGAAGGUGGAAAACCAGGUGACCAGGGUGUUCCCGGUGAAGCUGGAGCCCCUGGCCUCGUGGGUCCCAGGGGUGAACGAGGUUUCCCAGGUGAACGUGGCUCUCCCGGUGCCCAGGGCCUCCAGGGUCCCCGUGGCCUCCCCGGCACUCCUGGCACUGAUGGUCCCAAAGGUGCAUCUGGCCCAGCAGGCCCCCCUGGGGCUCAGGGCCCUCCAGGUCUUCAGGGAAUGCCUGGCGAGAGGGGAGCAGCUGGUAUCGCUGGGCCCAAAGGCGACAGGGGUGACGUUGGUGAGAAAGGCCCUGAGGGAGCCCCUGGAAAGGAUGGUGGACGAGUAAGUGAAUGCGGGCUGCUGGACUGCUGGGCAUUAGGAUCCUAGCCCUGCACCCAGGAGAGCAGGAGAGAGGGCUGGGCAGUCUGCCACUGGGGUCCCUGGUCCUGUCUCUGUCGGGGCUGGGCAACUGCAGGGACUUCUCUGUUAAAAUGGGGCCAGAGGGGCCUGACAGGUCCCAUUGGCCCCCCUGGCCCAGCUGGUGCUAACGGCGAGAAGGGAGAAGUUGGACCUCCUGGUCCUGCAGGAAGUGCUGGUGCUCGUGGCGCUCCGGGUGAACGUGGAGAGACUGGGCCCCCCGGACCAGCGGGAUUUGCUGGGCCUCCUGGUGCUGAUGGCCAGCCUGGGGCCAAGGGUGAGCAAGGAGAGGCCGGCCAGAAAGGCGAUGCUGGUGCCCCUGGUCCUCAGGGCCCCUCUGGAGCACCUGGGCCUCAGGGUCCUACUGGAGUGACUGGUCCUAAAGGAGCCCGAGGUGCCCAAGGCCCCCCGGGAGCCACUGGAUUCCCUGGAGCUGCUGGCCGCGUUGGACCCCCAGGCUCCAAUGGCAACCCUGGACCCCCUGGUCCCCCUGGUCCUUCUGGAAAAGAUGGUCCCAAAGGUGCUCGAGGAGACAGCGGUCCCCCUGGCCGAGCUGGUGAACCCGGCCUCCAAGGUCCUGCUGGACCCCCUGGCGAGAAGGGAGAGCCUGGAGAUGACGGUCCCUCUGGUGCUGAAGGUCCACCAGGUCCCCAGGGUCUGGCUGGUCAGAGAGGCAUCGUCGGUCUGCCUGGGCAACGUGGUGAGAGAGGAUUCCCUGGCUUGCCUGGCCCAUCGGGUGAGCCCGGCAAGCAGGGUGCUCCUGGAGCAUCUGGAGACAGAGGUCCUCCUGGCCCCGUGGGUCCUCCUGGCCUGACAGGUCCUGCAGGUGAACCUGGACGAGAGGGAAGCCCUGGUGCUGAUGGCCCCCCUGGCAGAGAUGGCGCGGCUGGAGUCAAGGGUGAUCGUGGUGAGACUGGUGCUGUGGGAGCUCCUGGAGCCCCUGGGCCCCCUGGCUCCCCUGGCCCCGCUGGUCCAACUGGCAAGCAAGGAGACAGAGGAGAAGCUGGUGCACAAGGCCCCAUGGGACCCUCAGGACCAGCUGGAGCCCGGGGAAUCCAGGGUCCUCAAGGCCCCAGAGGUGACAAAGGAGAGGCUGGAGAGCCUGGCGAGAGAGGCCUGAAGGGACACCGUGGCUUCACUGGUCUGCAGGGUCUGCCCGGCCCUCCUGGUCCUUCUGGAGACCAAGGUGCUUCUGGUCCUGCUGGUCCUUCUGGCCCUAGAGGUCCUCCUGGCCCCGUCGGUCCCUCUGGCAAAGAUGGUGCUAAUGGAAUCCCUGGCCCCAUUGGGCCUCCUGGUCCCCGUGGACGAUCAGGCGAAACCGGCCCUGCUGGUCCUCCUGGAAAUCCUGGACCCCCUGGUCCUCCAGGUCCCCCCGGCCCUGGCAUCGACAUGUCCGCCUUUGCUGGCUUAGGCCCGAGAGAGAAGGGCCCCGACCCCCUGCAGUACAUGCGGGCCGACCAGGCAGCCGGUGGCCUGAGACAGCAUGACGCCGAGGUGGAUGCCACACUCAAGUCCCUCAACAAUCAGAUUGAGAGCAUCCGCAGCCCCGAGGGCUCCCGCAAGAACCCUGCUCGCACCUGCAGAGACCUGAAACUCUGCCACCCUGAGUGGAAGAGUGGAGACUACUGGAUUGACCCCAACCAAGGCUGCACCUUGGACGCCAUGAAGGUUUUCUGCAACAUGGAGACUGGCGAGACUUGCGUCUACCCCAACCCAGCAAACGUUCCCAAGAAGAACUGGUGGAGCAGCAAGAGCAAGGAGAAGAAACACAUCUGGUUUGGAGAAACCAUCAAUGGUGGCUUCCAUUUCAGCUAUGGAGAUGACAAUCUGGCUCCCAACACUGCCAACGUCCAGAUGACCUUCCUACGCCUGCUGUCCACGGAAGGCUCCCAGAACAUCACCUACCACUGCAAGAACAGCAUUGCCUAUCUGGACGAAGCAGCUGGCAACCUCAAGAAGGCCCUGCUCAUCCAGGGCUCCAAUGACGUGGAGAUCCGGGCAGAGGGCAAUAGCAGGUUCACGUACACUGCCCUGAAGGAUGGCUGCACGAAACACACCGGUAAGUGGGGCAAGACUGUUAUCGAGUACCGGUCACAGAAGACCUCACGCCUCCCCAUCAUUGACAUUGCACCCAUGGACAUAGGAGGGCCCGAGCAGGAAUUCGGUGUGGACAUAGGGCCGGUCUGCUUCUUGUAAAAACCUGAACCCAGAAACAACACAAUCCGUUGCAAACCCAAAGGACCCAAGUACUUUCCAAUCUCAGUCACUCUAGGACUCUGCACUGAAUGGCUGACCUGACCUGAUGUCCAUUCAUCCCACCCUCUCACAGUUCGGACUUUUCUCCCCUCUCUUUCUAAGAGACCUGAACUGGGCAGACUGCAAAAUAAAAUCUCGGUGUUCUA
RNAcentral lists this small RNA (3756 nucleotides) under Pan troglodytes (chimpanzee). Its description in RNAcentral is "processed transcript". Lineage: Eukaryota; Metazoa; Chordata; Mammalia; Primates; Hominidae. The record is from RNAcentral.